GAUGAACGCUGGCAGAAUGCUUAACACAUGCAAGUCUUUGGCGAAGCUGUGCUUGCACAGCCUAGCCAGGGCGGACGGGUGAGUAACGCGUAAGGAACUUGCCCUGCAGUCAGGGAUAACAGACGGAAACGACUGAUACGACCAGGGAAAGUCAGGCGGACUCAUGUGCAGCCUGAUGAAAAGAGAUGCUGCAGGAGAGCCUGGCGUCCUAUUAGCUUGUUGGUGGGGUAACGGCCCACCAAGGCGAUGAUAGGUAGCCGGCCUGAGAGGGUGGGCGGCCACAAGGCGACGGAGAUACGGACAUUACUCCUGCGGGAAGCAGCAGUGGAGAAUAUUGGAUAAUGGGGGCAAUCAUGAACCAGCAAUUCUGUGGGGAUGAUGAAGGUUUGCGGAUAGUACAGUGCUUCCUGCAGCGAAGAAAAAAUGACGGUACUGGCUGAAGAAGCGACGGCUAACUACGUG
This 462-nucleotide ribosomal RNA is filed under the name uncultured bacterium. RNAcentral describes it as "partial 16S ribosomal RNA". It matches the Rfam family "Bacterial small subunit ribosomal RNA", at positions 28 to 507 of the family's 1533-position model. The record is from RNAcentral.